Molecule: ribosomal RNA, 301 nt
Filed under: uncultured bacterium
Lineage: Bacteria
Description: partial 16S ribosomal RNA
Rfam family: Bacterial small subunit ribosomal RNA
Source: RNAcentral
CAGUAGCCGCGGGAAUACAGAGGGUGCAAGCGUUAAUCGGAAUUACUGGGCGUAAAGCGCGCGUAGGUGGUUUGUUAAGUUGGAUGUGAAAGCCCCGGGCUCAACCUGGGAACUGCAUCCAAAACUGGCAAGCUAGAGUACGGUAGAGGGUGGUGGAAUUUCCUGUGUAGCGGUGAAAUGCGUAGAUAUAGGAAGGAACACCAGUGGCGAAGGCGACCACCUGGACUGAUACUGACACUGAGGUGCGAAAGCGUGGGGAGCAAACAGGAUUAGAGACCCGAGUAGUCCCUGUCUCUUAUAC